This 399-nucleotide ribosomal RNA is filed under the name uncultured bacterium. RNAcentral describes it as "bacterial SSU rRNA". It matches the Rfam family "Bacterial small subunit ribosomal RNA", at positions 30 to 429 of the family's 1533-position model. The record is from RNAcentral.
AUUGAACGCUGGCGGCAUGCUUUACACAUGCAAGUCGAACGGCAGCACGGGUGCUUGCACCUGGUGGCGAGUGGCGGACGGGUGAGUAAUACAUCGGAACGUAUCCAGAAGAGGGGGAUAACGCAUCGAAAGAUGUGCUAAUACCGCAUAUUCUCUGAGGAGGAAAGCAGGGGAUCGCAAGACCUUGCGCUUUUGGAGCGGCUGAUGUCUGAUUAGCUAGUUGGUGGGGUAAAGGCCUACCAAGGCGACGAUCAGUAGUUGGUCUGAGAGGACGACCAGCCACACUGGGACUGAGACACGGCCCAGACUCCUACGGGAGGCAGCAGUGGGGAAUUUUGGACAAUGGGCGCAAGCCUGAUCCAGCAAUGCCGCGUGAGUGAAGAAGGCCUCGGUUGUAAG